Molecule: ribosomal RNA, 253 nt
Filed under: uncultured bacterium
Lineage: Bacteria
Description: partial 16S ribosomal RNA
Rfam family: Bacterial small subunit ribosomal RNA
Source: RNAcentral
UACGUAGGAUCCGAGCGUUGUCCGGAAUUACUGGGUGUAAAGGGCGUGUAGGUGGGUCUCUAAGUCGGUGGUGAAAUCCUGCAGCUUAACUGUAGAAUUGCCCUCGAUACUGGAGAUCUUGAGUGCGGUAGAGGGAGAUGGAAUUCAUGGUGUAGCGGUGAAAUGUGUAGAUAUCAUGAAGAACACCAGUCGCGAAGGCGGUCUCCUGGUCCGCUACUGACACUGAGGCGCGAAAGCGUGGGGAGCAAACAGG